This 460-nucleotide ribosomal RNA is filed under the name uncultured bacterium. Its description in RNAcentral is "partial 16S ribosomal RNA". It matches the Rfam family "Bacterial small subunit ribosomal RNA", at positions 338 to 795 of the family's 1533-position model. The record is from RNAcentral.
CCUACGGGUGGCAGCAGUGAGGAAUAUUGGUCAAUGGUCGGGAGACUGAACCAGCCACGCCGCGUGGGGGAUGAAGGUACAGAGUAUCGUAAACCUCUUUUGUCAGGGAACAAAGGCGGGGACGAGUCCCCGGAUGAGUGUACCUGAAGAAAAAGCAUCGGCUAACUCCGUGCCAGCAGCCGCGGUAAUACGGAGGAUGCGAGCGUUAUCCGGAUUUGUUGGGUUUAAAGGGGGCGCAGGGUGUCUGUUAAGUCAGGUGUCAAAGGCCGGGGCUCAACCCCCGGACCGCGGUUGAAACUGGCAGACUCGAGUUGGAGAGAGGGAUGCGGAAUGCGCGGUGUAGCGGUGAAAUGCAUAGAUAUCGCGAAGAACUCCGAUUGCGAAGGCAGCUUGCUGGCUCCACACUGACGCUGAGGCACGAAAGCGUGGGUAUCGAACAGGAUUAGAUACCCCAGUAGUC